Long non-coding RNA from Oryzias melastigma (Indian medaka), 1362 nucleotides. RefSeq lists it as uncharacterized. The record is from RefSeq and is a predicted model, not a curated record. The transcript has 2 exons. NCBI's taxonomy places the organism in Eukaryota, Metazoa, Chordata, Actinopteri, Beloniformes, Adrianichthyidae.
GGUGACAAUACUUUCUCUGAAAUCCCUUCAUGCCGUUUGACUGACUCUUCCCAUUAGCCAAUCCCGCUGAAGAGAGCGCUCUGCUUGCCAAAUGCCCAGUGAGCCCCUGUAGGAUCGAUUCAACCGCACACCAUCUGCAUCAAUAGAAUUAGUAUUGACACUAUUCAUUAGCUAUGCAACCACAAUAGAGUCUCGCUUUUUCCAUCAUCUCAAUAUUACUUCAAAGUAGGGCAGAGGCUAUUCUGCUGCUCAUCUUUUCACUUUCCCUUCUUCUCUGAUUUUUUUUUCUGCAUUACUUGCUUGCUUGAUUUUUCCCCCUUUCCUCCAUCCCUCUUCUGUCUGUACUUUCAUUCCUUCGUUCACCUGAUGCUUCUCUGCUGGGGUUGUCGCACAUUCAGGCCGGUGGGCUAUAUUUGGUCCGGCGGAUGAUUAAAAGCACUGGCCUAACCUCUGCCUCAGACAGGCCGAUCCAUCCCACAGACACCCCACUGCUGCCACACGGGGGGGAGGCUGAAUAAUUUAUGCACAAUAUUGAACAUGAAAGAAGAGCUGGUAACACGCUAAAGCCCACCAGCACCCUUUCCGAUCUCUCCGGAUUGUAAAGAUGGAUACUGCAUUGAGCUGCAUUUUGUUUGUGUGCCGGUCCCUCUCAGCUGUCCUCCUGCAGCACAGGGGCUCCGGCUACUUUGAUAUGUGGGGGUAAAGGAAAAUAGGGGAGGGAAUGCUGUAAUUGGAAGAAACAGUUGAGAAUGGUCAAGGAGCACUCAGAAGAUUACUUUGAGGAUUAGUAAUUUUCGUAGAAAAUUUCUGUUUUUCUGAAACAUGUUGCCUAGCAACCCUUGAGUCGGAGACAUCCAGCGCUCCGGGGCUUUUGUUCCAGCCAAACACCCGAUGGUCAAUAUAAUUUAAACCCAGUGGAGGAGCGCCGGGUCGGGCCUGCCUCUAAUGCACAGCACAGUUUCCUGCAGUCGCAGCAGACUUUGUGCUGGAGUUAUGGUGCAGCCUCACCUCCCAAGUGCCCUCGUAGCUCUGCUUCUUGAGGCGAACAGCCCAGUUAUCGAGGCAUGCGUCGAAGCAGUGGUCCAUGCUGAGGAUAACCGGCCGGCUCAGGACCACCCCUGGAGGACCACAACUCACCACGGGGCUGAGGAGGGUCUGGCAGCCGGCCAGGGGUAACCUAUGCCAGGGGGCGGAGAGAGCAAGAAGUGCGUGAGUUGAAAUGAGGAGACAGCGGCAAAAAAAAAGCAAAAUAUGCUACAUCUGCAAAUGAUCAAGAAAACAAUUAAACCUGCUGGACGGACUGGAUCACAGAAGUCUGACUGUCUCCUCAGAGGCUGAGCGCAUCAAGGCAAAUAAACAGGG